RNAcentral lists this ribosomal RNA (496 nucleotides) under uncultured Staphylococcus sp. RNAcentral describes it as "partial 16S ribosomal RNA". Lineage: Bacteria; Bacillati; Bacillota; Bacilli; Caryophanales; Staphylococcaceae. The record is from RNAcentral.
CACGUAGUUAGCCGUGGCUUUCUGAUUAGGUACCGUCAAGAUGUGCAUAGUUACUUACACAUUUGUUCUUCCCUAAUAACAGAGUUUUACGAUCCGAAGACCUUCAUCACUCACGCGGCGUUGCUCCGUCAGGCUUUCGCCCAUUGCGGAAGAUUCCCUACUGCUGCCUCCCGUAGGAGUCUGGACCGUGUCUCAGUUCCAGUGUGGCCGAUCACCCUCUCAGGUCGGCUACGCAUCGUUGCCUUGGUAAGCCGUUACCUUACCAACUAGCUAAUGCGGCGCGGAUCCAUCUAUAAGUGACAGCAAAACCGUCUUUCACUAUUGAACCAUGCGGUUCAAUAUAUUAUCCGGUAUUAGCUCCGGUUUCCCGAAGUUAUCCCAGUCUUAUAGGUAGGUUAUCCACGUGUUACUCACCCGUCCGCCGCUAACGUCAGAGGAGCAAGCUCCUCGUCUGUUCGCUCGACUUGCAUGUAUUAGGCACGCCGCCAGCGUUCAU